Acyrthosiphon pisum (pea aphid) is the source of this 538-nucleotide long non-coding RNA. RefSeq lists it as uncharacterized. NCBI's taxonomy places the organism in Eukaryota, Metazoa, Arthropoda, Insecta, Hemiptera, Aphididae. The transcript has 3 exons. The record is from RefSeq and is a predicted model, not a curated record.
UUUAAUUUGUUUCUGUAUACGUAAAACAAUUAUUUGUUCCAAAAACUCUUAAAUGUUUAAUUUCGGGUUGUUUCCUAAAAUAUAUUUCAUGCAUGUUUUAUCAUUGAUUGAACUCGUACCAGUUCUUUUGAUUGUAUAGACAGGCGUAUUAACACUUUCUGCCCAAAUUGUUUUAUUUAGAUUUUUCGUAUGUAACAUAGUACUUGCGGCUUUUACUACCGUCCGGUUACAGCUGCAACACGAUCAAGAAGUAAACACUGAAGGUGCCAGUUUUGAUCUUGUUAAUUAAACAUGAAAAGAGAUACAUUUAUUAUUUAUAUGGUAUUCGUCUUCAGUCAGGGGAUUGGCGGAGACAGGAGCGUGGAGGCUCAAAACUCACAAAAAAAUAAUGGCACAUUUAUGCACGAGAAAUUACGCAAAACUAGCAGCUUAGUCUUUUUCUUAUAUGGCCUACAAAGAUGACACGAGUCGUAAAAAUAUUGUUACAAAAACAGUGGAUCGUGAGUUAAAAAGGUUAAACAUUACUAGUCAAAACCAU